AUGAGUGCCUGUCCACCCCACACUUUUCGUUGCUGCGCCGGACUUGACGGCCGUUUUGUCGGCUCUGUCGAAGUCAUGAGGCGCAACGCGAUAACCGAAGGCGAGCCGCUUGUCCCGUACGCCGGGGCGGCGGCUUUUUUA
Non-coding RNA from Burkholderia sp. ST111, 141 nucleotides. NCBI's taxonomy places the organism in Bacteria, Pseudomonadati, Pseudomonadota, Betaproteobacteria, Burkholderiales, Burkholderiaceae. The record is from Rfam.